RNAcentral lists this ribosomal RNA (497 nucleotides) under uncultured bacterium. RNAcentral's name for it is "partial 16S ribosomal RNA". It matches the Rfam family "Bacterial small subunit ribosomal RNA", at positions 28 to 507 of the family's 1533-position model. The record is from RNAcentral.
GAUGAACGCUGGCGGCGUGCCUAAUACAUGCAAGUCGAGCGAACGGACGAGAAGCUUGCUUCUCUGAUGUUAGCGGCGGACGGGUGAGUAACACGUGGAUAACCUACCUAUAAGACUGGGAUAACUUCGGGAAACCGGAGCUAAUACCGGAUAAUAUUUUGAACCGCAUGGUUCAAAAGUGAAAGACGGUCUUGCUGUCACUUAUAGAUGGAUCUGCGCUGCAUUAGCUAGUUGGUAAGGUAACGGCUUACCAAGGCAACGAUGCAUAGCCGACCUGAGAGGGUGAUCGGCCACACUGGAACUGAGUCACGGUCCAGACUCCUACGGGAGGCAGCAGUAGGGAAUCUUCCGCAAUGGGCGAAAGCCUGACGGAGCAACGCCGCGUGAGUGAUGAAGGUCUUCGGAUCGUAAAACUCUGUUAUUAGGGAAGAACAUAUGUGUAAGUAACUGUGCACAUCUUGACGGUACCUAAUCAGAAAGCCACGGCUAACUACGUG